CAAAAAUUCUUUCACUUGGACUGAGGAAUCUUCUAAGUAUUUGAAAAACUAAAGACAACCAUGAAUACCACACCAGUGUUAGCACUUCCAGACUUUUCUCAAUCUUUUAAGAACUUCUAUUGGACUAGAAUGAAAUCUCUCAUUCGAGACUUUGUUCAGGCUUGUAGUAUUUUCCAAAGACACAAAAUAGAGACCCUCCAACUUGCAGGUCUUCUCCAACCUUUACCAGUGCCAAAACAGAUUUGGUCAGAUAUUUCGCUACACUUCGUCGAAGGUCUACCCCUUUCUCAUGGUAAAAGUGUUAUUCUGGUAGUUGUUGAUCGUUUUUCAAAAUAUUGCAAUCUAUUACCAGUUGCUCAUCCAUAUUUGACUGUUAGUAUUGCCUGCAUCUUCUUUGACAAUAUUUUUAAAUUACACGGCUCAUCGGAGACAAUGGUGAGUGGCAGGGAUGUCACAUUUGCAAGUGCCUUUUGAAAAGAACUUUUUCGGCUUAGUGACACUAAAUUAUGUUUUACUUUAGCAUAUCAUCUACAAUCCAAUAGCCAGACAAAAGUAGUAAAUCGUACAUUGCACAGUGGAAAUGUAUUUACGAUGUUUUAUGAGUGCUUACCCAACUAAAUGGAUGGAUUGGUUAUCUUGGGUAGAAUAUUCUUAUAAUUCUAAUUUCCAUUCAUCAUUAUUAACCACUCCAUUUGAGGUAGUCUAUGGGCGUCCACCUCCACGUCUCUUGUCCUACUACCCUGGAGUCUCAAAAUUGGACGCCGUGGAAAAGGCCCUCAAGUCUAGGGAUGAGAUGUUAGCCUCAUUAAAACAGAACUUGCUGCAUGCGCAAAACAAAAUGGAGUGUGUGUGAUGCCAAACAUUAGAAACUGGAAUUUCAAGUUGGAGAUAUGGUUCUUUUGCGCCUACAACCUUAUCGCCAAUUGUCCAUGGCAAAUCGUCAUCAUCAAAAACUUUUACCGAAGUUUUAUGGCCCUUUCACAAUUGUGCAACGUAUUGGAAAUAUGGCUUAUUAGUUGGACUUACCGCCGGAGACUAAAAUUCAUCCGGUGUUUCAUGUCUCAUGUUUAAAGGUAUUUCACGAUGGCAAUAGUCCAGCAAUUUCUACUCUUCCAAAAGUUUUUCUAGAAAUUUCAGACCAGAUAUCUUUAGUAGUUAUUGAUCGUCGAACCAACCGUAAUAUUCUUGUGGUCUUAAUUCUUUGGCAAAAUACUUCUCUACCAGACGCAUCUUGGGAUGCUGUAUCAUCAAUGCAGCAACGAUUCCCAAACUUUUUGCUUGAGGACAAGCAUCAUUUGGAGGACGGGAGUAAUGCUAGCGCUACAUCAGCUAACAGUGGCACAACAGAUAAGGUUGAUCCAAAUGGGCCAGCAGAAGCGAAUCCUAAUCUCAUAAGGUACAAGAGAUUCACACAUGGAAAGUCUAGAAGACAUCAACAUCAGAUGGCAUCAAGAUAAAUUACCAGAAUUUUAACUAAAUAAAAACCAGGAUCAGAUCAUUCCUGUCUUGAAUUUAUCUUAUCAUUUAGUUGUCAAUUUAUGUUUUAGAGAUAAUUUUCAAUUUCUUGUUUUAAGGAUGGUUAUACCAUCAUGCUGUAUUUAAAGGCAGUCUAGUUUAAUAAAAGAUCAUCAAGAAAUUCAUUCAGUUUUUGAGUACUUAAAACUCAAAAGAUUUCAGGUUCCCUUUAAUGAUCCUGGUUUACAAUCAUAGGUCAGAAAAAGAAAACUUCUCCUUCAACACCUUCCUUCCCACUAAUUAACCCUCUGCAAGUUGUUAACAGAUCUGUAACUUGAUCCGUUGCACGGGACCUUAACACUAUUCCUCA
RNAcentral lists this unclassified non-coding RNA (1825 nucleotides) under Hevea brasiliensis (rubber tree). Lineage: Eukaryota; Viridiplantae; Streptophyta; Magnoliopsida; Malpighiales; Euphorbiaceae. The record is from RNAcentral.